GACGAACGCUGGCGGCAUGCCUAAUACAUGCAAGUCGAGCGGAACAUUGGGAGCUUGCUCCCAUUGUUUAGCGGCGGACGGGUGAGUAACACGUGGGCAACCUGCCCUGCAGAUCGGGAUAACUCCGGGAAACCGGUGCUAAUACCGAAUAGUUUUUUGCCCCUCCUGGGGCAGAACGGAAAGACGGUUUCGGCUGUCACUGCAGGAUGGGCCCGCGGCGCAUUAGCUAGUUGGUGGGGUAAUGGCCCACCAAGGCGACGAUGCGUAGCCGACCUGAGAGGGUGAUCGGCCACACUGGGACUGAGACACGGCCCAGACUCCUACGGGAGGCAGCAGUAGGGAAUCUUCCGCAAUGGACGAAAGUCUGACGGAGCAAUGCCGCGUGAGUGACGAAGGUUUUCGGAUCGUAAAACUCUGUUGUAAGGGAAGAACAAGUACCAAGUAACUACUGGUACCUUGACGGUACCUUACCAGAAAGCCACGGCUAACUACGUGCCAGCAGCCGCCGUAACA
Molecule: ribosomal RNA, 513 nt
Filed under: uncultured bacterium
Lineage: Bacteria
Description: bacterial SSU rRNA
Rfam family: Bacterial small subunit ribosomal RNA
Source: RNAcentral